GAUGAACGCUAGCGGCAGGCUUAAUACAUGCAAGUCAAGGGGGUAGCAAUACAACCGGCGCACGGGUGAGUAACGCGUACACAACAUACCAUAUACUGGGGUAUAGCUUUGGGAAACUGAAGGUAAUCCCCCAUAACAUUGCGAGAGGGCAUCUGAUUGCAAUUAAAGUUUCGGCGGUAUAUGAUUGGUGUGCGUUUGAUUAGCUAGUUGGUAGGGUAACGGCCUACCAAGGCGACGAUCAAUAGCUGGCGUGAGAGCGCGACCAGCCACACUGGAACUGAGACACGGUCCAGACUCCUACGGGAGGCAGCAGUAGGGAAUAUUGGACAAUGGAGGAAACUCUGAUCCAGCCAUGCCGCGUGAUAGAUGAAGGCCCUCUGGGUUGUAAAUAUCUUUUAUCUGGGAAGAAACAAUCUUAUUCUUAAGAUCUUGACGGUACCAGAGGAAUAAGCACCGGCUAACUCCGUGCCAGCAGCCGCGGU
This 482-nucleotide ribosomal RNA is filed under the name uncultured bacterium. Its description in RNAcentral is "bacterial SSU rRNA". It matches the Rfam family "Bacterial small subunit ribosomal RNA", at positions 28 to 521 of the family's 1533-position model. The record is from RNAcentral.